GGGCCCUUUCCAAUUCGACGUAGUGCUGCAGCCUUCUUCGCAAGUUCGCUGUUGAUCGUCCUUCACAAGAACGGUUUGCACCAGUGCUUGUAUACAUUCGAGACCUCCACUAGGACCACUCUAAGAACCUUUCCUCAAAUGAUCUCACCAUAUAAAAAUCAGAUUUGAUGUUCAACACAUGAACAACCUGAUUUUAGAACAAACAUCACA
This 210-nucleotide long non-coding RNA is filed under the name Elaeis guineensis (African oil palm). RNAcentral's name for it is "long non-coding RNA (EGUI_LNC048292)". The record is from RNAcentral. Lineage: Eukaryota; Viridiplantae; Streptophyta; Magnoliopsida; Arecales; Arecaceae.